GAAAUGCGAUAAGUAAUGUGAAUUGCAGAAUUCAGUGAAUAAUCGAAUCUUUGAACGCACAUUGCGCCCCCUGGUAUUCCGGGGGGCAUGCCUGUUCGAGCGUCAUUUCACCACUCAAGCCUCGCUUGGUAUUGGGCAACGCGGUCCGCCGCGUGCCUCAAAUCGACCGGCUGGGUCUUCUGUCCCCUAAGCGUUGUGGAAACUAUUCGCUAAAGGGUGUUCGGGAGGCUACGCCGUAAAACAACCCCAUUUCUAAGGUUGACCUCGGAUCAGGUAGGGAUACCCGCUGAACUUAAGC
RNAcentral lists this unclassified non-coding RNA (298 nucleotides) under plant metagenome. RNAcentral describes it as "partial contains 5.8S ribosomal RNA, internal transcribed spacer 2, and large subunit ribosomal RNA". The stretch from base 1 to 105 matches the Rfam family "5.8S ribosomal RNA", at positions 50 to 154 of the family's 154-position model. The record is from RNAcentral.